This is a long non-coding RNA of Ruditapes philippinarum (Manila clam), 685 nucleotides long. RefSeq lists it as uncharacterized. The transcript is spliced from 3 exons. The record is from RefSeq and is a predicted model, not a curated record. Lineage: Eukaryota; Metazoa; Mollusca; Bivalvia; Venerida; Veneridae.
AAAAAAGUAGAUGGCUAACCUAUUAUAUUUUGGGCCUCAUUUGACUUAAAUAGUGUUGAUGUUUAAAGUUGAAGACAGUAUAUAAUUCAUCAAGAACAGUGAAAUCCAGAAUUAAGCCUCAAAUGUGACUGAUUUACUAUAGAACAAAGAACACGAAAAUUCACCAGGCCGUCACCAAGAGGAGAAAUUUGAAAAAUGGGAACUAGUUGAUGGAUAUGGAUGAAACUUUGCAUCAGUGUUGUGUUUAUGCAUAGAAAUCAGGAAAAUAAAGGAUAACUGACAGACCAUGCAGUUACCAAAGCCGGGGUUUGAGUACAGGACCUUACCUUAUACUGGUUAAGAUCUAUGGAAGAACUCUUUCAGCUCAGUUUGGCAGCAGAUUUGUCAGGACAAGUUGAGAAGGAACUCAUUUGUUGGCGGAAGGAAUAAAGAUGUACCACCCACCAGCAGUCAGGAGUUUUCAAAGUGGUGAAUUUAAACUGUAUUACAACAGAGUGAAGAUUUUUGAAAAAAGUAGAUGGCUAACCUAUUAUAUUUUGGGCCUCAUUUGACUUGAAUAGUGUUGAUGUUUAAAGUUGAAGACAGUAUAUAAUUCAUCAAGAACAGUGGAAUCCAGAAUUAAGCCUCAAAUGUGACUGAUUUACUAUAGAACAAAGAACACGAAAAUUCACCAGGCCGUCACCAA